Non-coding RNA from Mycena floridula, 98 nucleotides. NCBI's taxonomy places the organism in Eukaryota, Fungi, Basidiomycota, Agaricomycetes, Agaricales, Mycenaceae. The record is from the annotation of a GenBank genome assembly.
UGCUCCAUGGCUGAGUUGGUUACAGCGUCCGACUGUUAUAGCACGUUAGAUAACAUUGUGUCAUCGGAAGGUCGAGAGUUCGAGCCUCUCUGGAGCAG